RNAcentral lists this ribosomal RNA (497 nucleotides) under uncultured bacterium. Its description in RNAcentral is "partial 16S ribosomal RNA". It matches the Rfam family "Bacterial small subunit ribosomal RNA", at positions 28 to 507 of the family's 1533-position model. The record is from RNAcentral.
GAUGAACGCUGGCGGCGUGCCUAAUACAUGCAAGUCGAGCGAACAGACGAGGAGCUUGCUCCUCUGACGUUAGCGGCGGACGGGUGAGUAACACGUGGAUAACCUGCCUAUAAGACUGGGAUAACUUCGGGAAACCGGAGCUAAUACCGGAUAAUAUAUUGAACCGCAUGGUUCAAUAGUGAAAGACGGUUUUGCUGUCACUUAUAGAUGGAUCCGCGCCGCAUUAGCUAGUUGGUAAGGUAACGGCUUACCAAGGCGACGAUGCGUAGCCGACCUGAGGGGGUGAUCGGCCACACUGGAACUGAGACACGGUCCAGACUCCUACGGGAGGCAGCAGUAGGGAAUCUUCCGCAAUGGGCGAAAGCUUGACGGAGCAACGCCGCGUGAGUGAUGAAGGUCUUCGGAUCGUAAAACUCUGUUAUUAGGGAAGAACAAAUGUGUAAGUAACUAUGCACGUCUUGACGGUACCUAAUCAGAAAGCCACGGCUAACUACGUG